UUGCCCCAGUAACGGCGAGUGAAGCGGCAACAGCUCAAAUUUGAAAUCUGGCCCCCAGGGCCCGAGUUGUAAUUUGCAGAGGAUGCUUUUGGCGCGGUGCCUUCCGAGUUCCCUGGAACGGGACGCCAUAGAGGGUGAGAGCCCCGUCUGGUCGGACGCCUAGCCUGUGUAAAGCUCCUUCGACGAGUCGAGUAGUUUGGGAAUGCUGCUCUAAAUGGGAGGUAUAUGUCUUCUAAAGCUAAAUACCGGCCAGAGACCGAUAGCGCACAAGUAGAGUGAUCGAAAGAUGAAAAGCACUUUGAAAAGAGGGUUAAAUAGUACGUGAAAUUGUUGAAAGGGAAGCGCUUGUGACCAGACUUGGGCCCGGUGGAUCAUCCAGCGUUCUCGCUGGUGCACUCCGCCGGGUUCAGGCCAGCAUCAGUUCGCCGCGGGGGAAAAAGGCUUCGGGAACGUGGCUCCUACGGGAGUGUUAUAGCCCGUUGCAUAAUACCCUGGGGCGGACUGAGGUUCGCGCUCCGCAAGGAUGCUGGCGUAAUGGUCAUCAGCGACCCGUCUUGAAACACGGACCCCUGUGUGAAAUUG
RNAcentral lists this ribosomal RNA (582 nucleotides) under Isaria sp. CTG2(2). RNAcentral's name for it is "eukaryotic LSU rRNA". It matches the Rfam family "Eukaryotic large subunit ribosomal RNA", at positions 75 to 664 of the family's 3401-position model. Lineage: Eukaryota; Fungi; Ascomycota; Sordariomycetes; Hypocreales; Cordycipitaceae. The record is from RNAcentral.